ACUCCUACGGGAGGCAGCAGUGGGGAAUAUUGCACAAUGGGCGCAAGCCUGAUGCAGCCAUGCCGCGUGUAUGAAGAAGGCCUUCGGGUUGUAAAGUACUUUCAGCAGUGAGGAAGGUGGGUAUGUUAAUAGCAUACUCAUUUGACGUUAGCUGCAGAAGAAGCACCGGCUAACUACGUGCCAGCAGCCGCGGUAAUACGUAGGGUGCAAGCGUUGUCCGGAAUUAUUGGGCGUAAAGAGCUCGUAGGCGGUUUGUCGCGUCUGCUGUGAAAACCUGGGGCUUAACUCUGGGCCUGCAGUGGGUACGGGCAGACUAGAGUGCAGUAGGGGAGACUGGAAUUCCUGGUGUAGCGGUGGAAUGCGCAGAUAUCAGGAGGAACACCGGUGGCGAAGGCGGGUCUCUGGGCUGUAACUGACGCUGAGGAGCGAAAGCAUGGGGAGCGAACAGGAUUAGAUACCCUGGUAGGAUAGCGU
Molecule: ribosomal RNA, 474 nt
Filed under: uncultured bacterium
Lineage: Bacteria
Description: bacterial SSU rRNA
Rfam family: Bacterial small subunit ribosomal RNA
Source: RNAcentral